UUGAAAUGAAAGAUUAUUAUUUCUGAUAUUAGAUAAAAUUAGUAUAUUUUGAGCGGUCUUUUGAGAGUGUAGGAUUACAUAUUAUUGUUAUUAAUUGAUAAACGAGUAUUAUUAGUGGGAGAAAGUAUUAUAGUAUUCUUUGGUAUUUUUUAUGGUUUGAAAUAUGAUUAAUUGUAUGACUGUAGAAUAAGUAGUUAUUUUCAAAAUGUAGAUAUCUAGUGUAUAGUGUAAAUAGGGAUAGAUGACUGCUGAAAAGAUGGUUCAGUAAGUAGAAUGGAUGAAUAAUCAGGAAAAGUAGUUAUCAUCUGUAGUAUAGGAGUUGAUAUCUCGGGGUAUUAUAAGGAGGAUGGGAGGGAGGAAGAAAAUGCCAGACUGUGAUAGUAUUGAGCCGAGAUAAGCUUGGUGCUAUCUCUUCUUCUUAGAUUUGUUGUUUCUUUUGUAUUAGUAUUGAUUCUAGUAAAGAGAAUUGAUUUAAUGAAUCAAUGUUUGAUUUACAAAGUUGUUUAUGGAUCAUUGUUUAUCAAUUGUUGUGAAAGAUUGAUGAUG
RNAcentral lists this long non-coding RNA (546 nucleotides) under Physcomitrium patens. RNAcentral describes it as "long non-coding RNA (PPAT_LNC000365)". Lineage: Eukaryota; Viridiplantae; Streptophyta; Bryopsida; Funariales; Funariaceae. The record is from RNAcentral.